GUGUAAUCCAAAUUGUGUGCGAGGAAGCCAUGUUGCUAUUUGUGUGCAUUUUCAAGAUUGAUGCAUUGCUUUUUCUUUUUGCUUCACUUUGUGCUGCUGCCCUCGUUCCUUAUCCCCAGUUUUGUGUUUCGGCAAGGUUAAGGUCACACACACACACAAACGCGCAAUCCUCCCUUAUGGGGACCGGAUUCUGGGUCCCCACACUGACACACACACAGCAACGCACACACACAGCAACGCACAAUCAUCCCUUAUGGGGACCGGAUUCUGGGUCCCACACUGACACAUACACAAAUGCGCAAUAUUCCCUUAUGGGGACCGGAUUCUGGAGUCCCCCACACUGACACACACACAUGCUCACACACAAACACGCAAUCAUCUCUUAUGGGGACCAGAUUCUAGGUCUCCACAUAGACACACAUGCUCACACACAAACACACAUUUCUCCCUUGUGGGGACUUGAUUCUGGGUCCCCACAAUGUAAGAGGUUCCCAUGAUGCCACAGUGUAAACAGACUUUUGUCCUUAUAAAACGAUGAAUACCAGAACGCACACUAUAAAAUCACAGAGAGAGAAGAUGAAUACACAUCACAGGCAACGACUGUUUAAGUCAUCAGUCGCAGAGUAGCACCAGGGUGUGGAUACUGCGCAGCUCUGAUUAAUUGAGACAUUUAACCUCCGCAGCAGUACAUUUUUACGGAGUGGACUCACCGUAGUCUUUUUUACAGUAUUUCUUCAUGGUGAUCUUCAUUUUCCCUUUGGAAGCUUUACAGUGGGAUUCGCAAUCUGGAAAUAAGGGAAAUAAACCAUUUUUAUAUUUUUAUUUUAGCUCACAAUGUCAUGAUAAUGGAAAAAAUGUGGAUUGAAUGGAAGUGAGACUUAAUUCAUGUCUGAAGAGUCGCCAGUUUAUGCACACUUGGCAUUUCGUGCCAGGCUUGAAAGAUGACUGCUGCUUUUGUCACCAUGCCAGGUUCUCAGGGAGAAGAUUACCUUUGCAAGCUCUCCGGUGUGAGAUGGAUUUGGUCAUGUCUCUGUAGAAACCUUCCUUGCAGUAAUGGCAAUGACGGCCCGCCGUGUUGUGACGACAGUUGAGGCACACCCC
Molecule: long non-coding RNA, 1101 nt
Organism: Syngnathus typhle (broad-nosed pipefish)
Lineage: Eukaryota; Metazoa; Chordata; Actinopteri; Syngnathiformes; Syngnathidae
Exons: 3
Source: RefSeq, a predicted model, not a curated record